This is a long non-coding RNA of Orcinus orca (killer whale), 418 nucleotides long. RefSeq lists it as uncharacterized. NCBI's taxonomy places the organism in Eukaryota, Metazoa, Chordata, Mammalia, Artiodactyla, Delphinidae. The record is from RefSeq and is a predicted model, not a curated record. The transcript is spliced from 2 exons.
CAGGGGAAGUGAUCCUGGAGGGUCUAACCCAGACUGCAGGCCCCAAGCCCCAAGCCCCAGCCUUCCGCUCCCAGGCUGGCUCCAGGAUGUGGAUGGAGGGCUGGGCCCAUGCCACAGGCCCACGGAGCCCUUGGAGCCGGCUGUUCUGUGCCUGAGGACAGAGCAGAUCUGAGGAGCCACGCAAAGACACAAACAGAAGGAAGCCACGCAACGUGUGGACACGGUGCCGCAUCCGUGGACACAGGCGAGCUGACCAGCACCCCCAGACUCGCGUGGGUCCGCUCCGGCCCCGCAACGACCCCUCAAGAGCACUGACACACACACACUGAUACACACGUUCCCACUGACACGCGCAGCAGCACUCCUGAGCCAGCUGCCCUCACGCUGUCCCCAGAGCCCCUUACCUGGGCAAGCACAA